RNAcentral lists this ribosomal RNA (587 nucleotides) under Aspergillus niger. RNAcentral describes it as "eukaryotic LSU rRNA". It matches the Rfam family "Eukaryotic large subunit ribosomal RNA", at positions 38 to 639 of the family's 3401-position model. The record is from RNAcentral. Lineage: Eukaryota; Fungi; Ascomycota; Eurotiomycetes; Eurotiales; Aspergillaceae.
GCAUAUCCAAAAAGCGGAGGAAAAGAAACCAACCGGGAUUGCCUCAGUAACGGCGAGUGAAGCGGCAAGAGCUCAAAUUUGAAAGCUGGCUCCUUCGGAGUCCGCAUUGUAAUUUGCAGAGGAUGCUUUGGGUGCGGCCCCCGUCUAAGUGCCCUGGAACGGGCCGUCAGAGAGGGUGAGAAUCCCGUCUUGGGCGGGGUGUCCGUGCCCGUGUAAAGCUCCUUCGACGAGUCGAGUUGUUUGGGAAUGCAGCUCUAAAUGGGUGGUAAAUUUCAUCUAAAGCUAAAUACUGGCCGGAGACCGAUAGCGCACAAGUAGAGUGAUCGAAAGAUGAAAAGCACUUUGAAAAGAGAGUUAAACAGCACGUGAAAUUGUUGAAAGGGAAGCGCUUGCGACCAGACUCGCCCGCGGGGUUCAGCCGGCAUUCGUGCCGGUGUACUUCCCCGUGGGCGGGCCAGCGUCGGUUUGGGCGGCCGGUCAAAGGCCCCUGGAAUGUAGUGCCCUCCGGGGCACCUUAUAGCCAGGGGUGCAAUGCGGCCAGCCUGGACCGAGGAACGCGCUUCGGCACGGACGCUGCAAAAGACCUC